AGCGAACGCUGGCGGCGUGCCUAACACAUGCAAGUCGAACGUGAAUGGGAGCAAUCCCUAGUAAAGUGGCGUACGGGUGAGUAACACGUAGGUAAUCUACCCCUUAGUUUGGAAUAACCUGCCGAAAGGCGGGCUAAUACUGGAUAGAGCGACGGAAGUCAUAAAGACUUUUUCGGGAAAGGGAGCCCGCAAGGGCCCUCGCUGAGGGAUGAGCCUGCGUCCCAUUAGUUAGUUGGUAAGGUAACGGCUUACCAAGGCUUUGAUGAGUAGCUGGGCUGAGAGGAUGAUCAGCCACACUGGAACUGAAACACGGUCCAGACUCCUACGGGGGGCAGCAGUGGGGAGUAUUGCGCAAUGGGCGAAAGCCUGACGCAGCCACGCCGCGUGAGUGAAGAAGGCCUUCGGGUUGUAAAGCUCUGUCAAGCGGGACGAAAAGUUAUUAGGUUAAUAGCCUAGUAACCUGACGGUACCGCUGAAGGAAGCACCGGCUAACUCCGUGCCAGCAGCCGCCGCCG
This 515-nucleotide ribosomal RNA is filed under the name uncultured bacterium. RNAcentral's name for it is "partial 16S ribosomal RNA". It matches the Rfam family "Bacterial small subunit ribosomal RNA", at positions 29 to 523 of the family's 1533-position model. The record is from RNAcentral.